AUCGGUGAGAGGCUCUGGGCUGCGGCGCC
RNAcentral lists this non-coding RNA (29 nucleotides) under Cricetulus griseus (Chinese hamster). The record is from RNAcentral. Lineage: Eukaryota; Metazoa; Chordata; Mammalia; Rodentia; Cricetidae.